AGUGAACGCUGGCGGUAGGCCUAACACAUGCAAGUCGAACGGCGGCACAGUAAGUGCUUGCUCUGACGGGUGGCGAGUGGCGGACGUGUGAGGUAAACAUCGGAAUCUAGUUUUUCGUGGAGGAUAACGUAGGGAAACUUACGCUAAGACCGCAUACGACCUACGGUUGAAAUCAGGGGAUCUUCGUACCUUGCGCGAUUGAAUGAGCCGAUGUCGGAUUAGCUAGUUUGCGGGGUAAAGGCCCACCAAGGCGACGAUCCGUAGCUGGUCUGAGAGGAGGAUCGCCCCCCCUGGAGCUGGGACACCCUCCAGGCUCCUGCGGCAGGCACCAGUGGGGAAUGUUAGACAGUAGGCGCAAGCAUGAUACAGCCGUACCGCGUGUGUUACGACGGCGUUCCGGUUGUAAUGACCUUCUGUUGGUAAAGAACCGCAGUAGGCUAAUACCACGCUGUUCUGACGGUACCCACAGAAUAAGCACCGGCUAACUUCGUG
Molecule: ribosomal RNA, 492 nt
Filed under: uncultured bacterium
Lineage: Bacteria
Description: partial 16S ribosomal RNA
Rfam family: Bacterial small subunit ribosomal RNA
Source: RNAcentral